GCCCCGACGGCAUCAAGGAUCCCGCCACAGCUUGUGACUACAGCUCUGCCUUCUUGACCGGUAUCACCCCGCCUUGCUACUCCAAAAUUCUCGGGCAGAAUACCGUUACCGACGGCCCCCGUUAUUAAACCCCUGUUGUUGAAGGAAUUCUUCCUUGAGCCCCCUUUGAAACGACGGAGAUCCUCACCGGCCGCUGUUCUCCUCCUCGCCUUCCUCCAAGCCCUAGACAUCCCUUCGAGGAUGGCCUCCGGGGUAGAGGACAUGGCGUGGGAACCCCUUAGAGAAGAAUCGGGGGGCUGAAGAUGGCAAGGACCGGUGCGGAGGAAGUAGCUGAGUAGCUAGGCUCUCAGAUGAAAGAAAGGUGCCAUCCUCUCGGCAGAAUGAAACCCCGAAGGAAGAGUAGGGGGUUUAAAUAGCCAGCGGAUCUUAGCGCAGUUAUGGCAGCGGGUGUCCCUAGGCCAACUGAUGCAUGCCACGUGUCCCGCAUGUCCCCCUAACCGCUAUCGAGGAUUGACUGUCCACAAAUUUCCAUGGCGCGAUGCUUGGGGUCCCGUCUCAGUGGGAGUUCCGAAAAGACUCUUCCGGUCGCCAUAAUCGAAAAAAGGACUCUGGCGUGCGCGCAUUAAAUGCCAACAUAUCCAAGGACGAUUGCGCCCGGGCGUCAGGGGAAGAACUUCGGCCGCGCCAACUUCUCCGUACUCCCUUCAUUCGAAAUUCGAACUCGAAAGUAGGGGGACUGGUGUUGGGCAUAAAAUUUCCUCGGCCGAAGUUCUUGGCAGGGUCGACCCUCGCGAGGCUCCGUCCACGACUUCUGCCGCAAGGAAGACUCCUACGGGAGCCAGACUCCGUCCUCAACAUCAAUUGUCGGUAAGCUCUGUCCGGACUCCUACGG
RNAcentral lists this long non-coding RNA (892 nucleotides) under Elaeis guineensis (African oil palm). RNAcentral's name for it is "long non-coding RNA (EGUI_LNC041353)". Lineage: Eukaryota; Viridiplantae; Streptophyta; Magnoliopsida; Arecales; Arecaceae. The record is from RNAcentral.